GUGGGGAAUCUUGCGCAAUGGGCGAAAGCCUGACGCAGCCAUGCCGCGUGAAUGAUGAAGGUCUUAGGAUUGUAAAAUUCUUUCACCGGGGACGAUAAUGACGGUACCCGGAGAAGAAGCCCCGGCUAACUUCGUGCCAGCAGCCGCGGUAAUACGAAGGGGGCUAGCGUUGCUCGGAAUUACUGGGCGUAAAGGUCGCGUAGGCGGACAGUUUAGUCAGAGGUGAAAGCCCAGGGCUCAACCUUGGAAUUGCCUUUGAUACUGGCUGUCUGGAGUACGGGAGAGGUGAGUGGAACUCCGAGUGUAGAGGUGAAAUUCGUAGAUAUUCGGAAGAACACCAGUGGCGAAGGCGACUCACUGGCCCGUUACUGACGCUGAGGCGCGAAAGCGUGGGGAGCAAACAGGAUUAGAAACCCGGGUAGUCC
This 425-nucleotide ribosomal RNA is filed under the name uncultured bacterium. RNAcentral's name for it is "partial 16S ribosomal RNA". It matches the Rfam family "Bacterial small subunit ribosomal RNA", at positions 354 to 796 of the family's 1533-position model. The record is from RNAcentral.